This is a small nuclear RNA of Gorilla gorilla gorilla (western lowland gorilla), 103 nucleotides long. NCBI's taxonomy places the organism in Eukaryota, Metazoa, Chordata, Mammalia, Primates, Hominidae. The record is from Ensembl.
GUGCUCGCUUCGGCAGCACAUUUACUAAAAUUGGAACGAGACAGAGAUUAGCACGGCCCCUGCGCAAGGGUGACGUGCAGUUUGUGAAGGGUUUCAUAUGUUU